Molecule: ribosomal RNA, 456 nt
Filed under: uncultured bacterium
Lineage: Bacteria
Description: bacterial SSU rRNA
Rfam family: Bacterial small subunit ribosomal RNA
Source: RNAcentral
AGGUGCUGCACGGCUGUCGUCAGCUCGUGUCGUGAGAUGUUGGGUUAAGUCCCGCAACGAGCGCAACCCUCGUGUUUAGUUACUAACAGUUCGGCUGAGGACUCUAGACAGACUGCCUGGGUAACCAGGAGGAAGGUGAGGACGACGUCAAGUCAUCAUGGCCCUUACGGCCAGGGCUACACACGUGCUACAAUGGGGUAUACAAAGAGCUGCAAUACGGUGACGUGGAGCAAAUCUCAUAAAAUAUCUCCCAGUUCGGAUUGAAGUCUGCAACUCGACUUCAUGAAGUUGGAAUCGCUAGUAAUCGUAGAUCAGCAAUGCUACGGUGAAUACGUUCCCGGGUCUUGUACUCACCGCCCGUCACACCAUGGGAAUUGAAUUCAUUCGAAGCGGGGAUGCUAAAAUAGCUACCUUCCACAGUGGAUUUAGUAACUAGGGUGAAGUCCUAACAAGGUA